This 430-nucleotide ribosomal RNA is filed under the name uncultured bacterium. RNAcentral's name for it is "bacterial SSU rRNA". It matches the Rfam family "Bacterial small subunit ribosomal RNA", at positions 354 to 796 of the family's 1533-position model. The record is from RNAcentral.
GUGGGGAAUAUUGCGCAAUGGGCGAAAGCCUGACGCAGCGACGCCGCGUGAGGGACGAAGGCCUUCGGGUUGUAAACCUCUUUCAGCGCCGAAGAAGCGAAAGUGACGGUAGGCGCAGAAGAAGCACCGGCUAACUACGUGCCAGCAGCCGCGGUAAUACGUAGGGUGCAAGCGUUGUCCGGAAUUAUUGGGCGUAAAGAGCUCGUAGGCGGUCUGUCACGUCUGCUGUGAAAACUCGGGGCUUAACCCCGGGCCUGCAGUGGGUACGGGCAGACUAGAGUGCGGUAGGGGAGACUGGAAUUCCUGGUGUAGCGGUGAAAUGCGCAGAUAUCAGGAGGAACACCGGUGGCGAAGGCGGGUCUCUGGGCCGUAACUGACGCUGAGGAGCGAAAGCGUGGGGAGCAAACAGGAUUAGAUACCCGGGUAGUCC